ACGAACGCUGGCGGCGUGCCUAAUACAUGCAAGUAGAACGCUGAAGAGAGGAGCUUGCUCUUCUUGGAUGAGUUGCGAACGGGUGAGUAACGCGUAGGUAACCUGCCUUGUAGCGGGGGAUAACUAUUGGAAACGAUAGCUAAUACCGCAUAACAAUGGAUGACACAUGUCAUUUAUUUGAAAGGGGCAAUUGCUCCACUACAAGAUGGACCUGCGUUGUAUUAGCUAGUAGGUGAGGUAAUGGCUCACCUAGGCGACGAUACAUAGCCGACCUGAGAGGGUGAUCGGCCACACUGGGACUGAGACACGGCCCAGACUCCUACGGGAGGCAGCAGUAGGGAAUCUUCGGCAAUGGGGGCAACCCUGACCGAGCAACGCCGCGUGAGUGAAGAAGGUUUUCGGAUCGUAAAGCUCUGUUGUAAGUCAAGAACGGGUGUGAGAGUGGAAAGUUCGCACUGUGACGGUAGCUUACCAGAAAGGGACGGCUAACUACGUG
This 496-nucleotide ribosomal RNA is filed under the name uncultured Streptococcus sp. RNAcentral describes it as "bacterial SSU rRNA". It matches the Rfam family "Bacterial small subunit ribosomal RNA", at positions 29 to 507 of the family's 1533-position model. The record is from RNAcentral. Lineage: Bacteria; Bacillati; Bacillota; Bacilli; Lactobacillales; Streptococcaceae.